This 21-nucleotide small nuclear RNA is filed under the name Arabidopsis thaliana (thale cress). RNAcentral's name for it is "snRNA_00587". The record is from RNAcentral. Lineage: Eukaryota; Viridiplantae; Streptophyta; Magnoliopsida; Brassicales; Brassicaceae.
ACUCCCACACUUUCAUCUUCC